RNAcentral lists this long non-coding RNA (543 nucleotides) under Monodelphis domestica (gray short-tailed opossum). RNAcentral describes it as "lncRNA (ENSMODG00000031346.2)". Lineage: Eukaryota; Metazoa; Chordata; Mammalia; Didelphimorphia; Didelphidae. The record is from RNAcentral.
AUGGACAAAGGCAUGGAAAGCCUCAACUGGGUUCCUAAACCCCUGUCACUACUGCUAAUGGCACUAAGAGACUAUUUCAUAACUCAGCACACUGAUUCAAAAUAUGACAAAUCUCUGAGAAAAAGAGCAUUGGGAUUAAAAUUCCAGAAGCUACCGGAGCCAAAUUUAAUUCUGAAGCUACUUCAUUUGACCUGAGUACAACAAGAGCAUAUUUUAUUUCCAAGGAUAGUAUGGCUUCUCCCAUGCAAUUCCCUGUACUCUAGGCAUGUCGAGUCACAGCUUCGUGUCAUUAGAAUACCACACUGCUUUCUCCAACACAGUUGCCCCCAUAAAGAAAUAGAUGAAGAACUUUCAAGAUAAUUGAGAUGAUUGUAGAUCUGCAAAAGUAUUCACUCAAAAGAGUCCUAGAACUCUGGUGCCUGAAGAAAAGAGGACAUAAGAUUUUAGAGUUAACAUGUAGCAACCUAGUUUGAUGACAUAGACCAAUUUGGAGAGGAGAGGAACUAGAAACAUGUUUCUGAUCCCUCAGCAAGCCUCUUUGAG